GGGGGGGGGGGGGGUACUGUCAUGGUGCCUCUGGCAGAUUCCUCACCCUCUCCUCUCUGCUUGGCCUCUGAUUGUUCCCAGCUGCGUCCACUCUACUCAUCACCCUGCCAGACCUACUUAAGAAGCUCCAGUAUCAUCAUUCAUCGCCAGUUCGUUGCCCCUGAUGGAUCAUCUAAACCCAUGAGUGGACGCCCAAAUCUACUUCCAUCCAAGCGGAGGAUACCCCCAGAAAACCUACCUCCUUCCAGCGCGCCGUCUGAACUCCAGGCCUCAGCUCAAGCCACAGCCGAACCUCCAGCCACGCCACAGGCCACAGCCGAAUCACCCGCCUCGUCCAAGGUUCGCCCGGAGCCGUCACAGGAUUCCUAGACUCGUCUUCAAGAUCGCAGACGGGUCGUCGGUCUCGCCAUCCCCUGCCACAACAGGACUGCUCAUUUCCCUGUAACAUUAAAUCCAUUACUACUUUCA
This is a long non-coding RNA of Oryzias latipes (Japanese medaka), 468 nucleotides long. RefSeq lists it as uncharacterized. The record is from RefSeq and is a predicted model, not a curated record. NCBI's taxonomy places the organism in Eukaryota, Metazoa, Chordata, Actinopteri, Beloniformes, Adrianichthyidae.